CGCCUUUCAUUGGCUCCUGCCGCCCUCGCGACUUUAGACCGAGCUCCGAUUGGCCGAGCUCAAAAAAGCCGACUUUGAGCUACGGUAUUCAAAUACGUGCCCCGUUGACUGCUAUGGCCAACUUGGAGCUUGGCUGACUGCUGUGUAUAGAGGGCAAGCUUGGCUUAGAUGAUCUUUGACAUCCCUGUCAAUUCUCAAUCCCUGAUUAUCCAGUGGAACAACAGAAUGACAACUGCUGAGAUGGCUUGACCGGUAUAGGAAGGAGAAUGAAGAAAUUUAGAAUUGGAGAUAAUGUAAAAACAAAAAAUAUCAAUAAAAAAUUUGAAAU
RNAcentral lists this long non-coding RNA (328 nucleotides) under Sarcophilus harrisii (Tasmanian devil). Its description in RNAcentral is "lncRNA (ENSSHAG00000030101.1)". The record is from RNAcentral. Lineage: Eukaryota; Metazoa; Chordata; Mammalia; Dasyuromorphia; Dasyuridae.